RNAcentral lists this ribosomal RNA (253 nucleotides) under uncultured bacterium. RNAcentral's name for it is "partial 16S ribosomal RNA". It matches the Rfam family "Bacterial small subunit ribosomal RNA", at positions 524 to 776 of the family's 1533-position model. The record is from RNAcentral.
UACGUAGGGGGCGAGCGUUAUCCGGAUUUACUGGGUGUAAAGGGAGCGUAGACGGUUCUGCAAGUCUGAAGUGAAAGCCCGUGGCUUAACCGCGGAACGGCUUUGGAAACUGUGGAACUGGAGUGCUGGAGAGGCAAGCGGAAUUCCUAGUGUAGCGGUGAAAUGCGUAGAUAUUAGGAGGAACACCAGUGGCGAAGGCGGCUUACUGGACCGUAACUGACGUUGAGGCUCGAAAGCGUGGGGAGCAAACAGG